Molecule: long non-coding RNA, 461 nt
Organism: Tyto alba (common barn owl)
Lineage: Eukaryota; Metazoa; Chordata; Aves; Strigiformes; Tytonidae
Exons: 3
Source: RefSeq, a predicted model, not a curated record
UUCUCGUUCAUUGAAUGUCUUUCUUACAUCUCAUCUCAAGAUUUCUUGAACGCCGUGUGAUUUUCUUCCUUAGUUUAUUUAUGUUCAUAUUUUAAAUUGGGUAUCUUAACAGGUUGCUGGGUUUGGUGGAUCGUCCUGUCCCUUCAUGUUCUGCAGCACAGGGUGGUAGCUGGCAGUCACCAUUGUUACAAAAGAAUUCUUCAAGAGCACCAGAGUUCAAUUUGCUACAGACUCCUCUUGUGGUUAAGAAAGCUGAAGUUUUGGCCACAUCUGCUUCUGGUUUUCCCGGCUUUACUCCUCGGUCUAUCCUCAGAUCCAGCGUUCGCAGCACACCCCAGGCAACUCCCUCUGCGUUUCCAGGAGAAUCAGUUACUCCUCCUCCCAGAGCAAACAAACACAGAGUGUCUUUCAAGGAAGGGAACUCAGAUGAGAAAUGGACUGUUGGGAAUGAUCGCCAUCCU